UGACCCGUAGAUAUCCGAAUGGGGAAACCCACCGUAAGGUAUCCUAUAGCCAAUCCAUAACUAUAGGAAGCGAACCAGGUGAACUGAAACAUCUAAGUAACCUGAGGAAAAGAAAGAAAACUCGAUUCCCUGAGUAGCGGCGAGCGAACGGGGAAGAGCCCAAAGUGUAAAAAGAGACAAUAGCCAGCCAAAUAAUCUGGGAAGAUUAACCAAAGAAGGUAAGAGUCCUGUAGGCGAAAGCGAAGAUAUCCGACACAAAAGAGUACCACGGAACACGAGAAAUUCAGUGGGAACAUGGGGGGACCACCCCCUAAGGCUAAAUACUACUUGGUGACCGAUAGCGAACAAGUACCGUGAGGGAAAGGUGAAAAGAACCCCGAGAGGGGAGUGAAAUAGAAUCUGAAACCUAGUGUUUACAAGCAGCGAAAGUGGCAUACGCCACGAUCGUGUACUUUUUGUAGAACGGGCCAGCGAGUUACGAUUACUAGCAAGGUUAAGCAUUACAGAUGCGGAGCCGAAGCGAAAGCGAGUCUAAAUAGGGCGAAAGUUAGUGGUUGUAGACCCGAAACCGUGUGAUCUAUCCAUGAGCAGAGUGAAGUUGAAGUAAAAUUCAAUGGAGGCUCGAACCGGGUAACGUUUAAAAGUUAUCGGAUGACUUGUGGAUAGGGGUGAAAAGCCAAACGAACACGGAGAUAGCUGGUUCUCCUCGAAAUAGCUUUAGGGCUAGCCUCUAGUAAGACAUGAAAAGGGGGUAGAGCACUGAUUGGUUGCGGGGCAUGCAUAUGUUACCAAAACCUAUCAAACUCCGAAUACCAUAUCAUGCACUAGGGAGUCAGACUAUGUGGGAUGAGCUUCAUAGUCGAAAGGGAAAGAGCCCAGACCAUCAGCUAAGGUCCCAAAAUUAUAGUUAAGUGGGAAAGGAUGUGGAGUUACUGAGACAACUAGGAUGUUGGCUUAGAAGCAGCCACUCAUUUAAAGAGUGCGUAAUAGCUCACUAGUCAAGUGACUCUGCGCCGAAGAUAACCGGGGCUAAACUAUAUACCGAAGCUAUGGAACGAAUAACGUUGGUAGAGGAGCAAUGUAUGAAGGACGAAGCAUAAGCCGUAAGGCAGUGUGGACAUCAUACAAGAGAGAAUGCUGGCAUGAGUAGCGAGAGGUGAGUGAGAAUCUCACCCGUCGAAAACCCAAGGAUUCCUGAGCAAGGCUCGUCCACUCAGGGUAAGUCGGGACCUAAGGCGAGGCUGAAAAGCGUAGUCGAUGGACAACAGGUUGAAAUUCCUGUACCGAUACAAUCGUUAAAGGAAGUGGGGACGCAGGAGGAUAAUAAGAGCGCCCAGUUGGUGAGGCGUGCAAGCGCAAAGUCUGGAGAGUAGGCAAAUCCGCUCUCCGAAAAGGAUGAAGCGUAAUGCGGAUCGAAAACAAGUAGAGAAGCUUAUGACUCCACACUGCCAAGAAAAGCCACUACAAGAGAAGUAUCGCCCGUACCGUAAACCGACACAGGUAGGUGAGGAGAGAAUCCUAAGACGAGCGGAAAAACCUUUGUUAAGGAACUCGGCAAAAUGACCCCGUAACUUCGGGAGAAGGGGAGCCCCUGUAACAGGGGGCCGCAGUGAAAAGGCCCAAGCGACUGUUUACCAAAAACACAAGUUUCUGCUAAGUCGAAAGACGAAGUAUAGGAGCUGACACCUGCCCGGUGCUGGAAGGUUAAGGGAAAAAGUUAGCGCAAGCGAAGCUUAGAACUGAAGCCCCAGUAAACGGCGGCCGUAACUAUAACGGUCCUAAGGUAGCGAAAUUCCUUGUCGGGUAAGUUCCGACCCGCACGAAAGGUGUAACGAUUUGGG
RNAcentral lists this ribosomal RNA (1841 nucleotides) under human vaginal metagenome. Its description in RNAcentral is "bacterial LSU rRNA". It matches the Rfam family "Bacterial large subunit ribosomal RNA", at positions 100 to 2013 of the family's 2925-position model. The record is from RNAcentral.